RNAcentral lists this ribosomal RNA (465 nucleotides) under uncultured bacterium. RNAcentral describes it as "partial 16S ribosomal RNA". It matches the Rfam family "Bacterial small subunit ribosomal RNA", at positions 339 to 795 of the family's 1533-position model. The record is from RNAcentral.
CUACGGGUCGCACCAGUGAGGAAUUUUGCGCAAUGGGGGAAAACCCUGACGCAGCAACGCCGCGUGAGCGAAGAAGGCCCUCGGGUCGUAAAGCUCUGUCAAGUGGGAAAAAAAUUUUUUGAUCAAUAGUCAAAAGACUUGAUGGUACCACUGGAGGAAGCACCGGCUAACUCCGUGCCAGCAGCCGCGGUAAUACGGAGGGUGCGAGCGUUGUUCGGAUUUACUGGGCGUAAAGAGCGUGUAGGCGGUUUAGCAAGUCAGAUGUGAAAGCCCUGGGCUCAACCCGGGAAGUGCAUUUGAAACUGCUUCACUAGAGUAUGGGAGAGGAGAUUGGAAUUCCUGGUGUAGAGGUGAAAUUCGUAGAUAUCAGGAGGAACACCCGUGGCGAAGGCGAUUCUCUGGACCAAUACUGACGCUGAGACGCGAAAGCGUGGGGAGCAAACAGGAUUAGAUACCCCUGUAGUC